CCUACGGGAGGCAGCAGUGAGGAAUAUUGGUCAAUGGGCUUACGCCUGAACCAGCCAAGUCGCGUGAGGGAAGACUGCCCUAUGGGUUGUAAACCUCUUUUGUCAGGGAGCAACGCCGGCUACGUGUAGCCGGACUGAGAGUACCUGAAGAAAAAGCAUCGGCUAACUCCGUGCCAGCAGCCGCGGUAAUACGGAGGAUGGGAGCGUUAUCCGGAUUUAUUGGGUUUAAAGGGUGCGUAGGCGGAAUGCCAAGUCAGCGGGAAAAUCGCGGGGCUCAACCUCGCGCCGCCGAUGAAACUGGCGUUCUUGAGUGGGCGAGAAGUAUGCGGAAUGCGUGGUGUAGCGGUGAAAUGCAUAGAUAUCACGCAGAACUCCGAUUGCGAAGGCAGCAUACCGGCGCCCAACUGACGCUGAAGCACGAAAGCGUGGGUAUCGAACAGGAUUAGAUACCCCAGUAGUC
RNAcentral lists this ribosomal RNA (460 nucleotides) under uncultured bacterium. RNAcentral's name for it is "partial 16S ribosomal RNA". It matches the Rfam family "Bacterial small subunit ribosomal RNA", at positions 338 to 795 of the family's 1533-position model. The record is from RNAcentral.